GUGCUUGCUUCCGUGGUACAUAUACUAAAACUGAAACAAUACAGAGAAGAUUAGCAUGGCCCCUGCACAAGGAUGACAUACGUAUUCAUGAAGCAUUCCAUACUUUG
RNAcentral lists this small nuclear RNA (107 nucleotides) under Carlito syrichta (Philippine tarsier). Lineage: Eukaryota; Metazoa; Chordata; Mammalia; Primates; Tarsiidae. The record is from RNAcentral.